GGCCUGCCCACUGAAGUGAUCCUUUAAAGGGCUGCGGUAACCUGACCGUGCAAAGGUAGCAUAGUAACUUGCCUCUUAAUUGGAGGCUGGAAUGAACGGUCGGAUGAGGGAAAAGCUAUCUCUUUGUUGAACAUAAAAAUUUACCUUUAAGUAAAAAGGCUUAAAUCUGCCUAAGUGACGAUAAGACCCUAUAAAACUUCAUACAGACUUGACGCGCAUGCGUAUUCCAAAACGUCAAGGAAUAACCUGGCAAAGUUGUAUUUCGUUGGGGCGACGAGAAUAGAACCUAAAAACAUCUGUUUUAUUAACUAUCUAACUAUUAUUAAAACUAGUCCCCUUAUAAGGAUUAAAAAAUCAAGUUACUUUAGGGAUAACAGCGUAAUUUUCUUUGAGAGCCCAUAUCGACAAGAAUAGUUGCGACCUCGAUGUUGAAUUAAAAUAUCCUAUCUAAAGUGCAGCAGCUUAGAUAGUAAGUCUGUUCGACUUUUAAAAUUUUACAUGAUUUGAGUUCAAACCGGUGCAAGCCAG
Molecule: ribosomal RNA, 528 nt
Filed under: Exoclimenella denticulata
Lineage: Eukaryota; Metazoa; Arthropoda; Malacostraca; Decapoda; Palaemonidae
Description: partial large subunit ribosomal RNA
Rfam family: Archaeal large subunit ribosomal RNA
Source: RNAcentral